AGCUAGUUCAUACAGCAGAUCCCUCACCCACGUGGACCUUCUAAAACGUUACAGGAGGAGCGGAACAGGCACUCUCUGAGGAAGACUCCAGGCAAGAAAGCAAACUCAGAGCUUGUGCUUUAUGAAUGCAGCCUCUGAAGAGCAGACGUCCUCCAUGCUCCGCUCACAGUUGGACCCACUGCUACAGAAAGGUGGGUGAGGGCCAGAGAGAGCACGGGGACAAACAUGCUUCCAGGAUUCCAGACACCCUCAAUGAGUGGACAAGCAAACCAACACUGAGAUCAGCAAACCAUAAGGGAGCAAGGGAAACCCUUCAGAUAAAAGCACCCCACGGAAGCGAAUGGCAGGCUUUGUGACUGCUCCAAAGGAAAGCCUUGAGUCAGACACUAAGUGAGGAGGGCAGUUAGCUCCAUGAAGUCAGAGCUCCCACUCCCCUGAGCCAGCUCGAGGGCACAGAGGCAGCUCUGUUCUCUGCAUUUCCUUCUCUGUGGUCAGGCUCCCUAACAUAACCCUGAGCUGAAAGAGUUAAGACAGCAUCAGUGUUCUGGAAGACACUAAGUGAGUUUCACAUAGCUGGCUCCUGUACUUCAGUUAAAAACAGAACAAUGACAGAGGGCUGAGCUUGCCCUCAAGUGAGUGGUACCUCCAUAUGCACAGAGCUAGAAGAGGGUGGAAGGGUCCCAGCGCCCGGGACGCACCCUUCACCUGGGAGCUCUACAGGGCACACAUCAGGACAAACACUUCUUUUACUUAGAUUCCAGAGUUUUGACUUUUGCCCCAGUGUUUUUAAGAAAACAGAAGACUAAGAAAGUUAGUAUCUUCACAAGGCACAGCACCUGUGCGUGGUUCCUCUAUUAGCAACCCUGCUGGUUUCCCGCUGAAGACACAAAUCCCUUCGGCAGUCUCCUCUAGCUCACCAAGGCCGUUCUCUCACAGCACAGUGAGGGCCUUCGCUGGGGUCCUAGCUGGACAUGUUCUUUCAUGCCCGAGCCCAUGCAAAAUGCUUUCCAUAAAGCAGGCGUGAUGAACGACUGAGAGCUGUCCUUGUGGCUCCUGAGUCAUCUCUCUGUGUCACAAAGAACUCCAAAAGAGCCAUGAUCACAUAUGAUCUGCCCACAUGUCUAGCCUUGCAUGGAACAAUUGAAAUCAUGCAUUUAUUCCACUAGUCGAAAUCUCAGGCAAACACCCACUGAAAGGCAGUGGGCAUUGUGACAGAGAUCACAAGCAGUUAGAUCGAUGGUCAUGUCACAGCUGUCUGGGCUUCACAAGCACAGAAGUGAAAGCUGGCAGCAGUCGGGAAAGCUUGCCAAGGUCACACACCAAGGAAACAUCCCUGUUAGCCUCAAAUUCGGAAGCUUUUCAUCAUCACGUGUUUCUAGCAUGCCACGUGCAAUCUACAUCUAAGCAGAGGAGAAGUCUGAUUUGUACUCGCUGAAGUGUAGAGUGGAUUAAAUGGCCUUUGCAGCUUACAAAAAGCAGAAAAAUGUAGAAAAUACAGGAAAACUUGCAUUCUUAGGUUUAUUGCUUUUUCUGAGAAGCACAAACAGUCAAGAAACAAACAUAUCAAUAAACCUAGAGACAUACACAACACAGCAUUUAAAAUAUUUUUAAAAGUUCUUAAUUAUACAUUAGUCACGAAAAGUCAUUAUGAUAGUUAUUUGACCAAAACAAAACAAUAAAAAGAAGCUAUUUACCAUCUAUAUUUAUAUAUUUAUGCUCAAACACAUUUAUGUACAGAUUUUUUGCAUUUUAAGACAUGUAUGAUCAUAGCAGUCAAAAUAUUCUUCAAAUUGCUUUUGCAUACAGCUACAUGCUGUGGAUGCAGCACCCAUCUGUAACUAGCUCUUUUUACCUGCUGUGGAUCUGUCCAUUGCAUACAUACGCUUUAUUAACACAAGCCCUUGUGAUGGGUAUGCAUGUCCUGCCUGGGCCUGCUGAAAGGACUCACCACGAAGACCUUAGAGAGUUGUGCAUACAUUCUGAGAGACCAAUGCACACAGGAGAGACCGCUGAGUCAAGUGGCAUCCCAAUUUCAAAUAUGAUCAGCACCAUGUAUGCACCCCCCAAAACAUCACAUGCAAGUAUGUAAAGAGCAACUAAGAAAAAGAAACCCAUAUUUCAUCUAUUACAUGAAAGACCAGCAUUAUAAAUUUCUAUUCGGAAAAGGCCUCGCAUAAAGAUCUAGGGGAGGUGUCUGGAAUACCGUCAUUCUGUGGAGAUGCUCAAUCUCCUAACCCUAUGUUUCUCAUGUCUUCUGCAUUCCAGAGGUUAUCUGUCACUGUGAAGUUGUCUCCAUAACAUGGAACCAUGGGAGAACUUCAAAUAAAAGUGAAAUACAUGAAGAUUUAACAAUGUCCAUUAUAUUAAUUACUUAAAGUCUGCUUUAAUUUUAUCCUUUACACAUCAAGUGUCUAUAGUUUAGAUUCCAAAACACAACUAAUUCUUUAAGUAGUUACAUGUUGGUAAGGGUACUACUGAUACUAGAACAUCUAUCUGUUCUACUUACUUAUUCUUUGUUUCUAAGGAAAUAGCAAUGCCCACCAAUAUUAUAUUGCAGUUUCAAAAGAAACCGGAACACUCUGUGUUGCAGUGAAACAUAUUAACAGGAAGCAAACAACUCAGAAUAGUUUUAAUAAGAUUCUCUAGGCCUCUUGACUAACAAUAUAUAGGCAGUGAAGACGGCUUGGUCACUCUCCGACUACCAGCUGCCUGAAAGCAGCAGAGACUCAGUGAACUACCUACAACAGGUUUUCAGCUUGUGAACUGUGACCCAUGUUGUGGUCGAAAGACAAUUUCACAGGCCUGCCUGAGCCCAUCGGAAACACAGAUAUUUACAUUAUGAUUCAAAACAGUAGCAAAAGUGAUGUUAUGAAGUAGCAACAAAAGUAAACGUCAUGAUUGGUCACCACAACAUAAGGAACUGUAUUUAAGGGUCAGGGUGUCAGGAAGGUUGAGAACACCUGGCCUAGAAGGAGCAGUGAAGCUGCACUGACUGGGAGAGGUACAGAGCAGUGGUGUCCCCGAGGAGGACAGGGCAGCCUGCUGAGUUGCCUGCAGGCUGGGUGGUCCGCUUCAAGUUUCCAGCUCCUGUGAGCGGUCCCCGUGCUGGGAUGAGGCUUGUAUCUGAGUCCCUUCUGCUCACCCACAUUCCUGUAAGGAACCACAAUAAACUUCCCUGCUCUGUGUUCUGGAGAGGGCUCCCUAUCUGAGGUGAGUAUCCCUAGGGAAAGGCAGAUCACACCACAGAGAUGCAUUUUCUCAUAUUCCAAGGGGAAUAUUUCAAUAUAUUUUCUUUCAGUUUUGGAAGAAAAAGCAACACUAAGGGAAGAGUAAUAGGAAAGCUGAGACAAUGUUAUGGUUUGGUGCUGAGAUGAACAAACCUUUACAUAAAUAACUAAGCCAAUAUGAGAUCAAAACAGACAUGUAGAGUGCAAGCCCCUUCAGUAUAGAAACAGCGUCUUUGAUGCCUGCAUGUACGCUGAGCCCUGGAGCAUGUUUAUCCUGUACCGCCAACCCCAUCUCUGUUCUCUAGUGAUUAUUUUCUCUUCCUGAGCUUUCUACUCCAGCCAAGGACAAAGGAGAGCGGUCUGUCUUUGGUAGGGGGACUACUCCUUAUCCCUAUUUACUUGGUGCAAACAUGGUCGAGUUCCUCUGUGAACUGAUCAUUUCGCAGAGGUCGUUCAGACCAUAACUUUAGAACCCAAUCACUACCCUGAUGGUCCUUCUUAGGAAAUGGGACCCAGUGGGAAUGUCUGCUCCCGCUGCUUAGUCUAUGGGUCAGCAUUUUUAUUCCCUUGUACUUAAUUCCUGUAAGUGGCAAUUAUUUAAGAUACAUUUAGAGAAGGUACAAUCCACAUUCAUCCAAUAAAACCUAAAUAUUAAAAAGCAAAGAAAAAUUCAGCAUGGUUACUAACGAUAAAUGGGCCAGCAUUUCACAUUUGAAAGGGAUCAGCAAGUGAUACAUGAGUAAAUGGGAAGAAAAUGCAGGCUAAAAAAAAAUUAGGCAGAAUUAAAAGGGCAUACUAUGUGUCAAAGAGACAAAGCAUUUUAAUUACAAAAGGUUAAUAUCAUAGCCAGAGUUGAGACAUAGGUGGAAAGAUCACUCUAAUAAAUAGUACCUGAAAAUCCACUCAAAGGUACUCUAUACGAAUCAUCCAAAGUUUAGACUUUUAACUAGCAGAUGAUUAACAAAAAAGAUCAGCACACUGUCACCACACCCUCACACACCGUCACACACCCCCGCCACACACACACACACACUCACACUUUAUACAUAGCAGCCUAUUUGACUUAAGAGCUGUAUCUAUGCAGAGCCCUGCCAGGAAAGCCGCACCAGCUGUAUGACUGUGACAGUAUGAGGAAAGCAGAGAACUCUGAAGUUAAGAAGCCCAUGGGCAAGUUCGUAGCAAAUUAUCUGAGGCAGACAAAAACAACGCUGUUAAUUCAAAGGACAACAUAUCCAUGAUGCACACUGGCUAAAGCCCUUGAUGUUAGUAUUAAGCAGGUAACGAUAGUAUUCCACAUCUUACACCACACACCUUUAGUAGAGACACUCCCGCUUCCCAUGGUGAAGAGUUCAAGACAGGUAAAUCACUGUGAUUGAUUCAAAUGCAGUCGCACAAUACAGAGAAUCUGGCCUUUGAUUUCACCGAUUACCUCCCAGUAGUUACAACAAAGAA
Myodes glareolus (Bank vole) is the source of this 4679-nucleotide non-coding RNA. The record is from RefSeq and is a predicted model, not a curated record. NCBI's taxonomy places the organism in Eukaryota, Metazoa, Chordata, Mammalia, Rodentia, Cricetidae.